Molecule: long non-coding RNA, 922 nt
Organism: Dendrobium catenatum
Lineage: Eukaryota; Viridiplantae; Streptophyta; Magnoliopsida; Asparagales; Orchidaceae
Exons: 7
Source: RefSeq, a predicted model, not a curated record
GGAGAGACUGAACAAAUGCACAUCUACUUCCCGUGGAACUGCCAGAAAUUGCCCCCUUGACUGGAAGGAAUAGCUGGAUGUGCAUUGUGGCAUGGCAGCAGGUCAUGCUGUUGUCCCCAAACAAGCCCUUAGUGGUGAAUUUUGGGUUUUCUUGAAGUUAAAUGUUAAGCAAAUUUUCACUUUAAACCUAAAUGUUAUGGAGGAAGUUGUGUAAAAAGCUGCGGCAUUGAAAAAAUAGCCUGGGAUGCUUCAGGGGAGCGGUUGGCCUUGUCUUUCAGAGUCGGUGAAGAGAUGUACAGGGGUCUCAUUGCAGUAUAUGACAUCAAGAGGACACCUCUUAUUUCACCUUCUUUGGUUGGAUUCAUUAGAGGUCCUGGAGAGUACCCAAAGCCACUAGCAUUUUCCUUUCACAGUAAAUUCAAACAAGGACCUUUGCUUUCUGUGUGCUGGAGUAGCGGCUUAUGCUGUACAUAUCCCCUCAUUUUUCGCUCACAUAUACUUCCUUGAAUGAAGAGUCUUGCAAGUGGUGCUGAAGCUAGAUGAAAGAAGAUAACUGGUAUAUCUGAGUAUAGCUCAAAAGCCAUGGGACUUGAGCAUGUAAAGGCUAUUCCGAGAAUCUCAGCUUCCAGCUCUGUUUAACUUCAUUGUCUGUUCUUGCGAUGAUUUGGAGAGGAAUGUGGUUUUCUUUCUGAUCGGAUAGUAUUUCUAUGGACUUCUGUAUUUUCCAUCUACUUGUUCAAGCAGGUCUCUUGAAUUAUUGAACUAUCUGAUGAUGGCUUCAGGAGGGAGAUAGAGCCAAUUGUGUUUGGUAAGUUUAAUAUAUAAAGGUGUAGUUCAAUAUGUAAGAACACUGGAUGCUCGUUCAUCUCGUUGUCUAAUUUUACAUGGAUAUUUUCAAUAUAAAAACGUAUAGUUUCUUUUA